This 467-nucleotide ribosomal RNA is filed under the name uncultured bacterium. Its description in RNAcentral is "partial 16S ribosomal RNA". It matches the Rfam family "Bacterial small subunit ribosomal RNA", at positions 29 to 507 of the family's 1533-position model. The record is from RNAcentral.
ACGAACGCUGGCGGCGUGCUUAACACAUGCAAGUCGAACGGAAAGGCCCUGCUUUUGUGGGGUGCUCGAGUGGCGAACGGGUGAGUAACACGUGAGUAACCUGCCCUUGACUUUGGGAUAACUUCAGGAAACUGGGGCUAAUACCGGAUAGGAGCUCCUGCUGCAUGGUGGGGGUUGGAAAGUUUCGGUGGUUGGGGAUGGACUCGCGGCUUAUCAGCUUGUUGGUGGGGUAGUGGCUUACCAAGGCUUUGACGGGUAGCCGGCCUGAGAGGGUGACCGGCCACAUUGGGACUGAGAUACGGCCCAGACUCCUACGGGAGGCAGCAGUGGGGAAUAUUGCACAAUGGGCGGAAGCCUGAUGCAGCAACGCCGCGUGCGGGAUGACGGCCUUCGGGUUGUAAACCGCUUUCGCCUGUGACGAAGCGUGAGUGACGGUAAUGGGUAAAGAAGCACCGGCUAACUACGUG